AGGAAGCAGAGCAGGGGACAGAGGUAGUGUGGCAAGUGAUAGGGGCUUUGCUGCAAGGGACGAGCCUGGAGCAAUAAGAAGCGGGACAUUUGCUAAUGAAGGGCGUGAUGUGGGUAUGGAACGUAGCGUAGGCAAGAGGGGAGGUGCAUGUGCUGGCGAGGGGGUAUUUGGUCAAGUGAGCACCUGGCUAAGGAGGUGUUGGGGAGGGGGGAGUGGUAGUGGUGGUACUUGUGCAGAUGAGGGGAUGGAGCUUUGCUAAUGAGGAAACGGUCCUAGGGGGAUAAAGGGCGGGUCAGAUGCAAAUGAAGGACCUAGCUUUUGCAGUUUUUGAACCAAGUAGGUGCAGAUAAGGGGUGGGGCACAUGCUGGUGAGCAGUACGGACAAAACGCUGCCCAUUAGCACAUGAGGGGGCGGAGCAUGGUGCCUGACUGUCUGGAGCGAGGUGGUGUGAACCCUGAAAUGAAACUGUGAUCCUGGCCCUCUCAAAUGAAACUGUGAUCCUGCUUCGCCCACCGUUAGUACUAGGGUGACAGGUGAAAAAAGUCUAGAGGGGUACCCAUCCGGUGUCUGAACCUCUUGGGGUGGUGGCUUCAAAGAUACUACACUGGAUGGUAGCCAGGUCCCUAACACUAUGAUGUUACCAUUAGGAGAUAUGUCUCCUCACAGAUAUCCCGUGGCACACCCUGGACAGCUCAGAGCUCCAGCAGGGGCACGUGGUGUCUUCUCUUCUCGUUCGUCGGCUCAUUUUGAGUUUAGAAAGAAGACAGUGGUGUGUCUUAGGGUUUGCAAAGUCCCCACAGGCUCUUCUCAGAACCAGGAGACCUAAAGAAAUCAGUGGGCUAGGUCCACUCUUGUGAAUUGGAAGGGACAUUAGGGAUUCCUUACACCUAGGAAGUGUUUGGAUGGGACUAGGAAAAUGUCAGGACACUUCAGACCUCAGGUUCUUAAGCCUUGCUUCUUGCUUUCACUCCUUCUUGCCCAUUGGCCCAUACAUGCAAAGCUUUCCUUAAGCUACUCUUGUAAAGACUGAAUGCUAAUAGAUAGGUAGAACCUGUUUAAACAUGUAGAGGCUCCAGCUUAAACAUGGAAGGUGAUACACUGUGUUCAAAAGCCACAGGCCACCUGCCCAGAAUUCCCAUAGUGCAGCCCAGACUGCAGCUAAAGUCCCUUCUUGUUGAUGAACCCAAAUGAACCUCGACACAGGUGAGAAUAGGAAGCUGCAGGUGCCUACAAACACACUGUAUUCCUUUCUUCUAAGGAGGAUUGGAGUGAUGCAUCUUAAUGAGGCUUCACAUUGACUCUAUGAUCUUGAGGGAGACAGCUUGGUAUUAUUAACCCUGUUGUGAAUGCUCAGGAAUCAGAGGCUCUGGGGUAUUAUAGUGUUUCCCCCUCUCUAAGGAAUAGAUACUAUAUAAAUCCAGUAAUUACCACUUACUAGUAUGUUCCCACAGGACACAACCUCAUUGAGGAUAACCUAGAUACACACACAGUCAGAAUUUAUAAAUAAAUACUUACCCUGAGUAGCAUUUGACCUAAUAUUAAGACUUGAGUGUAAGCUAGACUAUUAUUAAUAAAACAAUUGCAGUGUAGAAAUGAAAACCAUGAACUACAAUUUUCUAUAUUAUAAAAUGCAGGUUCCACAUCACAGUGAAAAUCAUUUUAGCAAGGUUAGCAAGGAAGUUAUUUUUAGCAAUAUAGGUUGUAACCUAGGGGAAUCAUCAAGUGAGUUUUGGAGGUUCUAGAGGUUUGUUUGUGAUGCCACCAGAAGGUAUGGGAAUCCUGGUCAUAAAUAUAUCACUGGGAGAAAAGGCUUUUGACAGGUAGUCAGUCCCCAAAAGAAGGCAUUAGGAGUAGACUCUACUCCUUUAUGGUGUGUCUGUGUGUUAUACACACACACACACACACACACAGGCACACACACACACACACACACACACACACACACACACACACACACGCAGACACUCACAAGAAAACAAUGUGAAAAUAAAGACAAAAAUUAGAGUGAUGCUUCUUUAAGCCAGGGAAUGUCAAGAAUUUUCAGCAAGCCACCAGAAGCUAGGAGACACAAGGAUUCUGGCAUAGCCCCAGAAGUAACCCACUGCAGACACUUUGGCUUGAGACGCACUCUUUGUGGGGCAUUUGGUGGUUAGAGAUCAUCAUCUGGGGUAUCCAUAGUCUCUCUGCAAGAGGAUGGGUGGCUUACUGGAGAUGUAGGGCCAUUGUAGAGGGUUCUCAUUACACCUUGGGUCUGGCCUGAACUUGGAGAGGAAAGCCAAAAUAUUGACUAUCCUUUUGCUUGCUCAUCUCUUUUGGAUUUGUCUUGUAAGCUUUUGUUGGUGAACACACAGAGGUUUUAUCAGUUUACAAAAGGAGUAAUGGAUUUUUAGUUUAACUUUUGGGGGUAACAUUUAAGUAGAGUUUAAAUAAAAGCCAACCGAAUUUUGAAUAAAUCCCAAUUUUAGUAAGACUCAGUUUCUUGUUUUGUUUUGUUUUGUUUUGUUUUGUUUUUUUUGAGACGGAAUUUCUCUGUGUAGUCUUAACUGCCCUGAAACUCCUUCUAGACCAGGCUGGCUUCAAACUUGGAGACAUGCCUCUGCCUCCUGAGGCCUGGGAUUAAAGGCAUGUGCCACUGAUGCCUGGCUAAGACUUUUAAGUAGAUAAAAUUUUAACAAAUCUAGAAGAAAACAUAUAUACUUACCUUGAAAAAAAAUAUCUGAAAUCUUUGUUCUUUGGGUCUGUUCUUGCAAAUACUACCAUGAGCAGAUAAAUACCUUCAGCAAACUUUAUUGUUUUUCACAAAAGGCAGAUUUUAGUUUUAUGUCAGUGACCUGGAUUUUGACCUGAAGAAUUUUAAUAAUGUUUACUCCCAACACAUGGAACAUCUUUGAGUUUUAUCUUUUGCAAACCUUUUGUGACCUUUUGAAAUGUGCUUAAGCUUUCUGGUUUUGCACUCCUCUUUUUCAUCUUGAAAAAUCCAGCAAUUUCAUCUCAGGCCAAAACUUAUUUUAUUAUAUAAAAUUGUUUCUUACCUGAAAUGCACUUUCUUUCCUUUUAAACCUUCCUUACCAAAACUGUGUCCUCAUAUUUACAUGUUUAUGACACACACCCUGUGCUCACUGGUUUCCUUUGGUUCUGUAAUUUCAUGAGACUGAAUGACAUAACAAAGAAAUGUGCAGUGUUGGUGACAACAUUGAGUUCACCUUCCAGUUUUGUUUUCUGUCUGUUAAAUAUUGUCCACGAAGAAAUCUAAAUUAGGAGCAGCACAGCAUGGCAGCACGCACCUAUUGUCUCCGAACUUGAGAGGUGGAGGCAGGAAGAUCAGGAUUUAAGGAUAGCCUCAACUACAUGACCUGGCCUCUAAUGAUAUGCAAUAUAAAUAUGCAAACUUCAUGAAAGGAGCACUCCAAACUAUCCAGGAAGCCUCACAUGGAUGAGACUAUAUUUGUGUCACUGUGCAGAGGUGGCCUGGAUCUGUGCUAUGUAAGAUCUACAAUAAAGAAAUCUGAAGAAGAAAUUAGAGUGCUGAAGAAACAUCUCAAAUUGCAGUUCAUUUUGGAAGAAGAUCUUCAACCGGUCAACUCAGAGAGUUUGAAGAUCUGCAACCAGUCAACUCAGAGUUUGAGCUCUUCUGGCAAACAAAGUGCUCUGUAGGCAGAUGAGGUAGCCACACCUCCCCCUGCUGGCUAUCUCCUGUCACUGCAGGAGGCUCAUGGAGUCCGGCUGGGCAUGCCAAUGACCUAAUAGGCCAAGCUAUAGGUGGGUCAGGAAGGCAACAUUCUCCUCUGACCAUUGUUCCAUUUGUACUUUGUAAUCCAACUCAAACACCUAAAUGAAUAUGAGUUUAAAUGUUAUGCUGGGUAUUUGGGAGAGUUGUGAACUCUCCAACAAAAUAAACAUGAGAAAACUUUUAAUGAUGAAUUCGUUCAUCAUUAUGGAUUAGCACAAAAAACUCGGAGGUCAAGAGCAGACUGGCUGCUCUUCAGAGUUCCUGAGUUCAAUUCCCAGCAACUACAUGGUGUCUCAAAGUCAUCUAGAAUGAGAUCUGGUGCCCUCUUCUGGUCUGCAGGCAGGCA
Peromyscus californicus insignis is the source of this 4077-nucleotide long non-coding RNA. RefSeq lists it as uncharacterized. Lineage: Eukaryota; Metazoa; Chordata; Mammalia; Rodentia; Cricetidae. The transcript has 3 exons. The record is from RefSeq and is a predicted model, not a curated record.